This 299-nucleotide ribosomal RNA is filed under the name uncultured Staphylococcus sp. RNAcentral's name for it is "partial 16S ribosomal RNA". It matches the Rfam family "Bacterial small subunit ribosomal RNA", at positions 505 to 802 of the family's 1533-position model. Lineage: Bacteria; Bacillati; Bacillota; Bacilli; Caryophanales; Staphylococcaceae. The record is from RNAcentral.
GUGCCAGCAGCCGCGGUAAUACGUAGGUGGCAAGCGUUAUCCGGAAUUAUUGGGCGUAAAGCGCGCGUAGGCGGUUUUUUAAGUCUGAUGUGAAAGCCCACGGCUCAACCGUGGAGGGUCAUUGGAAACUGGAGAACUUGAGUGCAGAAGAGGAAAGUGGAAUUCCAUGUGUAGCGGUGAAAUGCGCAGAGAUAUGGAGGAACACCAGUGGCGAAGGCGACUUUCUGGUCUGUAACUGACGCUGAUGUGCGAAAGCGUGNGGGAUCAAACAGGAUUAGAUANCNUGGUAGUNCAGGGCG